RNAcentral lists this ribosomal RNA (253 nucleotides) under uncultured bacterium. RNAcentral describes it as "partial 16S ribosomal RNA". It matches the Rfam family "Bacterial small subunit ribosomal RNA", at positions 524 to 776 of the family's 1533-position model. The record is from RNAcentral.
UACGGGGGGGGUAAGCGUUGUUCGGAAUUACUGGGCGUACAGGGCUCGUAGGCGGCCACCUAAGUCAGACGUGAAAUCCCUCAGCUUAACUGGGGAACUGCGUCUGAUACUGGAUGGCUUGGAUCCGGGAGAGGGAUGCGGAAUUCCAGGUGUAGCGGUGAAAUGCGUAGAUAUCUGGAGGAACACCGGUGGCGAAGGCGGGUCUCUGGGCCGAUACUGACGCUGAGGAGCGAAAGCGUGGGGAGCGAACAGG